Molecule: long non-coding RNA, 591 nt
Filed under: Homo sapiens (human)
Lineage: Eukaryota; Metazoa; Chordata; Mammalia; Primates; Hominidae
Description: HSALNT0340612
Source: RNAcentral
CCUUCUCGCUUCCGGGGCGUUAGCUGAGCAUACUCAGGCCCCAGCCUGCUCGCGCUGGUUGUGUGCUGGGAACAGAGUUCCAGUCUAUACACUGGCGACCGGGGGGAGGGAGAUCCUUUGGAGCACUCGGAAGCGGGUUCUGACCAGCCUGUGGGGUUCCCUAGAGGAGGCAUGAGCUGACUCUGAAGGGCAAACUGCAGUUGGCCUGGCAACUCUGGAGAAGAGCCACCCAGCAUAGGAGACGGCAGUGCAGAGGCACCCAGGGCCUGAUGCUGGGAGCUCAGAGCAGCUGGGGGUGUGUAUGCCUGAAGAAUGGUCGUAGAUGACACUGGAGGGUGGAUUAGAUCAAGGAAAGCCAUUUGCAGUGCGGGAGAGUUAGUGCCUACCCCAGAGUCUGGAGCCACCGUAUGUGAUCAGGUUCACAUUUUGGAAAGAUCACUGUGGGAACAAUAUAGAAAGAAGAUGAUUUAGGAUGAGGUUAGAUUUGGGAUCCAGAGAUCAGUUAACUGUCCCCACAGUUAGCCAUAUUAAAGUGGUUAAGGAAAUUGACUGCCAAUCUUUAGUUUCUUUAUCAAUAAAAUGAAUAAUUCC